GCGGGCGAAUCGCGUGCAGCCUCGGGAGCGUGCGCGCGCUCUUCCAAAGGGGAGGCUUGGAACGGACGUCCGGGAGUGGGCGGGGCGGGAGUGCUCAAGGAGGAGGGGGCGGGGAUGGCGACUUCUUUCCCAGGAGGAGAAUUGGGUGGAGAUGGCAUUGUUAAGAUGCGGCCGAGCGCGCCCUCUCUGCGCUCCCUCACUGCAGGAGGCGAGGGAGACUCUGGGACCCAGGCAGCUCUAUCCUUUUAAAAAGGGAGUCAAAGAAAGCCUCUUACAAUUUAAAGAAGAAGAAAGAUUCCAGACACUAAAUUAGUUUCCCUAUGGCUCGGGGCUAGAACUAGAACUUGAAUUACAGGUCUUUUACCCCACAAUCUAGGGUGGCGUGCCUGUAAAAACUUGUAAAAGUCAGAUACUAUGCAAUAAAACGUUUUCUUAUUUUAAUUUUUUUUUUAAAAGAACGUUGUUACUACGUUAACUGAGGUGUGUGUGUGUGUGAUUUCUUUUUGGGGGAUAUGGUCACAGCAUACCUUAAGAGUUAUUUGAAUGGUAACCAGGGCCUAGAUUUAACAGACUAUUUUGCUUCAGAGUGAGAUAAAACAUUUUCAAAUCCCUAAGUUUCCCUAACUACAGUUAGUAUUACUUAACAUAAAUCAGUAGGAACAUGAUUGGGGUUUUUUUGUUGUUAUUUUGUUUUCCCUUUCUACUUCAUGUAAAGCAGAAUUUUCAAUUAACAGUUUUACUUUUUUCUUUUAAAGUUUGCCCUUGGUCAUUGAGCCCCCAUUUCUGAAUAGCAAAUUACUCAUUAUUUGGGGACUAGAAAGAAGAGAUAUAUAGUCUACAAUUUCACAGCCUGUCUAGUUUUACCUAUUUUGGAACAGGAAACUCCUCUAAAACACAGCAGGGAAGUACUCAUCAAGGGUUUGCUUGAAAACUGUCAGAGGUGGAGCAACUCUGCUGUCUCCAAGACUUCUGUUGCCCUUUUAAGUUACUCUGAUUUUCCAACUGUGUUAUUGCUUUUAAGCUCUUGUGCAGUUUAAUCAUUUGCAAAGUGGGAAGAACAAUAAUGUCUACCUCCAAGGAUUGUUGUGAGAAUAGAAUGAGGUGUUAUUUGUAAAGAACCUUGCAAACCAUAA
This 1133-nucleotide long non-coding RNA is filed under the name Sarcophilus harrisii (Tasmanian devil). Its description in RNAcentral is "lncRNA (ENSSHAG00000021604.1)". The record is from RNAcentral. Lineage: Eukaryota; Metazoa; Chordata; Mammalia; Dasyuromorphia; Dasyuridae.